RNAcentral lists this ribosomal RNA (563 nucleotides) under Cytospora gelida. RNAcentral describes it as "eukaryotic LSU rRNA". It matches the Rfam family "Eukaryotic large subunit ribosomal RNA", at positions 70 to 659 of the family's 3401-position model. Lineage: Eukaryota; Fungi; Ascomycota; Sordariomycetes; Diaporthales; Cytosporaceae. The record is from RNAcentral.
UGGCCAUGUCUAGUACGGCGAGUGAGCGGCAACAGCUCAAAUUUGAAAGCUGGCUUAGGCCCGCAUUGUAAUUUGCAGAGGAUGCUUCUGGCGAGGUGCCUUCCGAGUUCCCUGGAACGGGACGCCAUAGAGGGUGAGAGCCCCGUAUGGAUGGACACCAGACCUGUGUGAAGCUCCUUCAACGAGUCGAGUAGUUUGGGAAUGCUGCUCUAAAUGGGAGGUAAAUCUCUUCUAAAGCUAAAUACCGGCCAGAGACCGAUAGCGCACAAGUAGAGUGAUCGAAAGAUGAAAAGCACCUUGAAAAGGGGGUUAAACAGUACGUGAAAUUGUUGAAAGGGAAGCGCUUGUGACCAGACUUGCGCCGGGCAGCUCAUCAGGGGUUCUCCCCUGUGCACUCUGCCCGGCUCAGGCCAGCAUCGGUUCUCGUGGGAGGAUAAGAACGGUAGGAACGUGGCCCCCCUCCGGGGGGGUGUUAUAGCCUGCCGUACGAUACUCCCGUGGGGACCGAGGUUCGCGCUCCGCAAGGAUGCUGGCGUAAUGGUCAUCAGCGACCCGUCUUGAAA